CCUACGGGUGGCAGCAGUGGGGAAUUUUGGACAAUGGGGGCAACCCUGAUCCAGCAAUGCCGCGUGAGUGAAGAAGGCCUUCGGGUUGUAAAGCUCUUUUGUCAGGGAAGAAACAGCAGCUCUAACACAGUUUGCGAAUGACGGUACCUGAAGAAUAAGCACCGGCUAACUACGUGCCAGCAGCCGCGGUAAUACGUAGGGUGCAAGCGUUAAUCGGAAUUACUGGGCGUAAAGCGUGCGCAGGCGGUUAUGUAAGACAGGCGUGAAAUCCCCGGGCUUAACCUGGGAAUUGCGCUUGUGACUGCAUAGCUAGAGUAUGUCAGAGGGGGGUAGAAUUCCACGUGUAGCAGUGAAAUGCGUAGAGAUGUGGAGGAAUACCAAUGGCGAAGGCAGCCCCCUGGGAUAAUACUGACGCUCAUGCACGAAAGCGUGGGGAGCAAACAGGAUUAGAUACCCUAGUAGUC
This 464-nucleotide ribosomal RNA is filed under the name uncultured Polynucleobacter sp. RNAcentral describes it as "bacterial SSU rRNA". It matches the Rfam family "Bacterial small subunit ribosomal RNA", at positions 338 to 795 of the family's 1533-position model. The record is from RNAcentral. Lineage: Bacteria; Pseudomonadati; Pseudomonadota; Betaproteobacteria; Burkholderiales; Burkholderiaceae.